GCUGCGCUGAUGAUGAGCUCAAAACGUACUUGGUUGAAUUUUGGAUCGAACAAUGACCACCUGUGUUCCUCUCGAAUUGAGGUGUAUU
This 88-nucleotide small nucleolar RNA is filed under the name Oryza brachyantha (malo sina). RNAcentral's name for it is "snoRNA snoZ173". The record is from RNAcentral. Lineage: Eukaryota; Viridiplantae; Streptophyta; Magnoliopsida; Poales; Poaceae.